GACGAACGCUGGCGGCGUGCCUAAUACAUGCAAGUAGAACGCUGAAGAGAGGAGCUUGCUCUUCUUGGAUGAGUUGCGAACGGGUGAGUAACGCGUAGGUAACCUGCCUUGUAGCGGGGGAUAACUAUUGGAAACGAUAGCUAAUACCGCAUAACAAUGGAUGACCCAUGUCAUUUAUUUAAAAGGGGCAAAUGCUCCACUACAAGAUGGACCUGCGUUGUAUUAGCUAGUAGGUGAGGUAACGGCUCACCUAGGCGACGAUACAUAGCCGACCUGAGAGGGUGAUCGGCCAAACUGGGACUGAGACACGGCCCAGACUCCUACGGGAGGCAGCAGUAGGGAAUCUUCGGCAAUGGGGGCAACCCUGACCGAGCAACGCCGCGUGAGUGAAGAAGGUUUUCGGAUCGUAAAGCUCUGUUGUAAGUCAAGAACGAGUGUGAGAGUGGAAAGUUCACACUGUGACGGUAGCUUACCAGAAAGGGACGGCUAACUACGUG
RNAcentral lists this ribosomal RNA (497 nucleotides) under uncultured bacterium. RNAcentral's name for it is "partial 16S ribosomal RNA". It matches the Rfam family "Bacterial small subunit ribosomal RNA", at positions 28 to 507 of the family's 1533-position model. The record is from RNAcentral.